Molecule: ribosomal RNA, 245 nt
Filed under: uncultured bacterium
Lineage: Bacteria
Description: partial 16S ribosomal RNA
Rfam family: Bacterial small subunit ribosomal RNA
Source: RNAcentral
AACGUAGGAGGCGAGCGUUAUCCGGAUUUACUGGGCGUAAAGCGCGCGCAGGCGGCACAGCAAGUCGGACGUGAAAGCUCCUGGCUUAACUGGGAGAGGCCGUUCGGAACUGCUGAGCUUGAGGUUGGGAGAGGGGUGUGGAAUUCCCGGUGUAGUGGUGGAAUGCGUAGAUAUCGGGAGGAACACCAGUGGCGAAGGCGGCACCCUGGCCCACACCUGACGCUGAUGAGCGAAAGCGUGGGGAG